This is a long non-coding RNA of Octopus sinensis (East Asian common octopus), 182 nucleotides long. RefSeq lists it as uncharacterized. Lineage: Eukaryota; Metazoa; Mollusca; Cephalopoda; Octopoda; Octopodidae. The transcript has 3 exons. The record is from RefSeq and is a predicted model, not a curated record.
AUCACUCUUUCUCUCUCUAUCUUCCUACCCUCUCUUCCUCCCUCUCUCUCUCUCUCCUCCAUACAUUCACCUAAGCGCAUUAAUUUAUAAACAAAUCUCUGGCAAGACCGCGAUAGUAACCAUUUCUUCAAUAAUGGAUCUCCCACAUAUUCAACCACCAUUAUAGCAGUGAUGUAUUGAAU